GACAAGGAAGGACGUAGUAAUCGACGAAAUGCUUCAGGGAGUUGAAAAUAAGCAUAGAUUCGGAGAUUCCCGAAUAGGGCAACUUUUCGAACUGCUGCUAAAUCCAUGGGCAGGCAAAAGACAACCUGGCGAACUGAAACAUAAGGUAGUCAGAGGAAAAGAAAGCAAAAGCAAUUCCCAUAGUAGCGGCGAGCGAAACGGGAGCAGCAUAAACCGUGAAAACGGGGUUGUGGGAGAGCAAUACAAGUGUCGUGCUGCUAGGCAAAAGUCCAGUAGCCGAAAGCAUCACUAGCUUACGCUCUGACCAGAGUAUGGUCAAGAAUUGACAGAAGAACAUGGUAACCAAUAUCAAGGAGAAGUCC
RNAcentral lists this non-coding RNA (362 nucleotides) under Solanum tuberosum (potato). RNAcentral describes it as "Bacterial large subunit ribosomal RNA". It matches the Rfam family "Bacterial large subunit ribosomal RNA", at positions 45 to 473 of the family's 2925-position model. Lineage: Eukaryota; Viridiplantae; Streptophyta; Magnoliopsida; Solanales; Solanaceae. The record is from Rfam by way of RNAcentral.